AGGACGAACGCUGGCGGCGUGCUUCAUACAUGCAAGUCGAACGAGAAGCUGACUUCGGUCAGUGGAAAGUGGCGGACGGGUGAGUAAUAUGUAGAGAAUCUGCCCUUGAGUGGGGGACAACAGAGGGAAACUUCUGCUAAUACCCCAUAUGAGCUUAGUUGAAAUACUAAUCUUGAAAACUCCGGUGCUCAAGGAUGAGUCUGCAUCUGAUUAGCUAGUUGGCGGUGUAAUGGACCACCAAGGCGACGAUCAGUAGCUGGUUUGAGAGGAUGAUCAGCCACAAUGGGACUGAGACACGGCCCAUACUCCUACGGGAGGCAGCAGUAGGGAAUUUUGCGCAAUGGGCGAAAGCCUGAACCGCAGCAACGCCGCGUGAACGAGAAGCCCUUCGGGGUGUAAAGUUCUGUCAGUAGGGACGAAUCUUGACGGUACCUACAGAGGAAGCACCGGCUAACUCCGUGCCAGCCGCAGC
This 472-nucleotide ribosomal RNA is filed under the name uncultured bacterium. Its description in RNAcentral is "bacterial SSU rRNA". It matches the Rfam family "Bacterial small subunit ribosomal RNA", at positions 26 to 518 of the family's 1533-position model. The record is from RNAcentral.